This 89-nucleotide unclassified non-coding RNA is filed under the name Pseudomonas extremaustralis. The record is from RNAcentral. Lineage: Bacteria; Pseudomonadati; Pseudomonadota; Gammaproteobacteria; Pseudomonadales; Pseudomonadaceae.
UGUGGGAGGGGGCUUGCUCCCGAUGGCGAUGGGUCAGGUUGAAUGUUUGUACCUGAUCCACCGCCAUCGGGAGCAAGCCCCCUCCCACA